This 429-nucleotide ribosomal RNA is filed under the name Bacteroidota bacterium. RNAcentral's name for it is "Bacteroidetes bacterium partial 16S ribosomal RNA". It matches the Rfam family "Bacterial small subunit ribosomal RNA", at positions 355 to 776 of the family's 1533-position model. The record is from RNAcentral. Lineage: Bacteria; Pseudomonadati; Bacteroidota.
UAGGGAAUCUUCCGCAAUGGACGCAAGUCUGACGGAGCAACGCCGCGUGAGUGAAGAAGGAUUUCGGUUCGUAAAACUCUGUUGUUAGAGAAGAACAGCGCAUAGAGUAACUGUUAUGCGUGUGACGGUAUCUAACCAGAAAGCCACGGCUAACUACGUGCCAGCAGCCGCGGUAAUACGUAGGUGGCAAGCGUUGUCCGGAUUUAUUGGGCGUAAAGCGAGCGCAGGCGGUCAAUUAAGUCUGAUGUGAAAGCCCAUCGCUUAACGGUGGGUUUGCGCCGGGUACGGGCGGGCUAGAGUGCAGUAGGGGAGACUGGAAUUCCCGGUGUAACGGUGGAAUGUGUAGAUAUCGGGAAGAACACCAAUGGCGAAGGCAGGUCUCUGGGCUGUUACUGACGCUGAGAAGCGAAAGCGUGGGGAGCGAACAGG